RNAcentral lists this long non-coding RNA (2014 nucleotides) under Malus domestica (apple). Its description in RNAcentral is "long non-coding RNA (MDOM_LNC021201)". The record is from RNAcentral. Lineage: Eukaryota; Viridiplantae; Streptophyta; Magnoliopsida; Rosales; Rosaceae.
UCAUUGAGUGUUGAAGUGAUAAACCACUUAACGAGACGGAAACUAGGCAAGGACUUCACCUUUAUGUCCCUAUACUAAUGGUUCACUAAGUUUAUUGUAAACUAUGUAGUGAACAAUAACCACAUGCUCUCCAAAAAUGUUUGAUGUGUAUAACACAAUUGAAAUAAGUUUCAAGAGAGAUAGUGGGAGUUUAGGGACCAUGACUAUUGUAGUCAAAGGAGAAGUCAAAUGAAGAAGAUAAAAUUAACUCCAAGGGAACAAACUUUCUUUAUGAAAGGAUGGACAUUGGAAGGGGUAUUUGCAAGAAAUGUCUUGCAAGUGUCAAGAACACACCUUUCGAAGGUGUUGAAAAUUGUUCUUGAAAAGUUCAAAACAGUUGGUUCUUCUACUUGAAUGCUUGAUUCUGUAUUAGUAACUAUGUUUUACAAUCGUUGUAAAAGUGUGACUAAUAAGAAGUAGAAGAUUAAUGAGAGAAGAGAAAGUACUUCACAUUCGAAACGUGAAUCAAAUGUAGAUCUCUGCGAAAGCAGAUGGUACUUACUUCCUCAUAUGAACUACCAAAGAAAUUGGAAAAACAAAGAUUGUCUUUACAUUCCAAUUUUAAGGAACUAAAUUCCGUCACUAUGUGAAAUGGAUAAAUGUUUUGUUUGACAAAACAUUGUUCUUUAUUAAUCAAUGAUUGGAUUAUGGUAAUCUAAUUGAUUGUCUCUAUAGUAGAGAUGAUAUGGUAGUGUUAACUGUUUAGAAUACAAUGAUGCUUAAAACCCAAAAGGUUGCAAGGUAGUGACUAAUCCCAACUAAGUUGUGAUUCCUCUAAAAACAUAAAUUACGAGUUGGUAAUAAAUGGAUGCUUUGGAUUGUUAGAUCCGGAUCCAAUACCUUCUUAUUAAAAUUGUAUAGAGGCGAAAUGUUCGAAUCUUUAUUCUUUUGGAAAGAAGAAAGAAUCACAAAGUUGUUGAGGUUAAUUCACUUAGAUGUUAGUGGCACUUGUCCACAAACAUAAUACUACUCAUGUUGGAUGACAUUCACCGAAGAUCACCCUCGGUUGGACUAUAGUUUAUUUUAAAUAAACAUAAGUCCGAAUACUUUGCAAAAGGUUUCAAAGAAUUCAAGUAAUGUAAGUUGAUGAGUAAGACGUCUAAAGUAUUUACCUCCUUAGAUUUGAUCCAAGGAAAAGAAACACUUUAGAUGAGUCUCCUUGAAAGAUAUCAAGGAAAGAAGCAUCAUAAGAUAAUAAACUUCUCCAUUAAGGAGAAGAACGAACUAGAAUAAGAUUUAGUUCGUUAGAUGUUAUCUAUUACCCAUAUAUAGGAUAUAUACUUCUAAAACAAUAUGAUUGUCAAUUAGAAGAUCUUCCAAAUCUUUCAUGACUCCAUAAGAUAUAGUUGGAAAGAAAGACAAAUCUCAAGCAUGUUAAGAUUUGGGGUUGUGAGCUUAUAAGCAAUAUUUGUUUAAUAAUAAUCUGGUGGGAUAUCCUUAAAUUAACUUUUGGAUAUCGCUUCUAUAAACCAACUAACAAAUGUUGUUUUGUUGGGUAGUUCAUUGUAAUCAUACAAUGUGAUUUGCCUAAAAGCAAAUAAACGAGAGAUAGAACUCAAAGAAUGGGUUCUUUGAGAGACAAGAAAGUAAUCAACAAAUAUAACAACCUAGUUCCUAUACCUCAAGCUCCAAGGUAGUCGAUAAGGAUUUAUAAACCGUCUUAGUUGAAUGAUUUUUGAACUUUAUGACUAUGUCAUAGAGUUACACCUCUUAAUUCGAAAGAAAUAAGAAUGAAAAUCCUUAUGACUACAUUGAGUGUAUAUAUGAUGUAUACUCAAGGAAAUGGUAAAGUACCAUUUGACCCGAAAUAAUGAAACCUUCAUAAGCUAAUUGGUAGCUUAAGAUGACUACAAUCAAAGAGAAUGGUUGACUUUGAAGAAACCAUCUUUGAGAUAGUCUUGGUUUCAAUUAAUUCGAAGAUUGCUAGCUACAACUAAAUGGUGAUUCAAUGUUUGGACAUAAUAUGGGUUUUCGA